GCCGAGGUGGCGGAAUCGGUAGACGCGCCAGCUUGAGGGGCUGGUAUCCGUUUAGGAUGUGUGAGUUCAAGUCUCAUCCUCGGCACCA
Molecule: transfer RNA, 88 nt
Filed under: Deinococcota bacterium
Lineage: Bacteria; Thermotogati; Deinococcota
Also listed under: 1 other name
Description: tRNA-Leu
Rfam family: tRNA
About the family: Transfer RNA (tRNA) molecules are approximately 80 nucleotides in length. Their secondary structure includes four short double-helical elements and three loops (D, anti-codon, and T loops). Further hydrogen bonds mediate the characteristic L-shaped molecular structure. tRNAs have two regions of fundamental functional importance: the anti-codon, which is responsible for specific mRNA codon recognition, and the 3' end, to which the tRNAs corresponding amino acid is attached (by aminoacyl-tRNA synthetases). tRNAs cope with the degeneracy of the genetic code in two manners: having more than one tRNA (with a specific anti-codon) for a particular amino acid; and 'wobble' base-pairing, i.e. permitting non-standard base-pairing at the 3rd anti-codon position.
Source: RNAcentral